AGGGCCUGAAGCAGGGAGUGAACUAUCGCUUCCGUGUCUGCGCGGAGAAUCUUGUUGGCAAGGGUCCCGACGCCUUCCACCCCAAGGAGGGCGAGGCUGCGUUUGUCGCUGGUGAACCACCAAGUGCACCAGUGCUAGACAUCAGUGCCCUGCCCAAGGACCUGGAGGUUGUUGAGCCUGAGGACAUCUCACUGAAGAUCCCCAUCACAGGACAGCCUCCGCCUGAAAUCACCUGGACUGUCAACGGAGAGGACGUCAAGUCUUCUGAGCGUCUGUCGCUGAUCAGUGCGACGGAGCCGUACACAUUUGUGGAGCUGGCGAUUAAGCCGAGUCAGCGCUCCGACACCGGGAAGUACCGCAUCACCGCCAAGAAUGAGCACGGGGAGGCUGGCGGAGUC
Branchiostoma belcheri (Belcher's lancelet) is the source of this 398-nucleotide long non-coding RNA. RefSeq lists it as uncharacterized. Lineage: Eukaryota; Metazoa; Chordata; Leptocardii; Amphioxiformes; Branchiostomatidae. The record is from RefSeq and is a predicted model, not a curated record. The transcript has 3 exons.